Molecule: transfer RNA, 75 nt
Filed under: Methylibium petroleiphilum PM1
Lineage: Bacteria; Pseudomonadati; Pseudomonadota; Betaproteobacteria; Burkholderiales; Sphaerotilaceae
Description: tRNA-Thr
Source: RNAcentral
GCAGCCGGAGCAAGUCGAUGCCAAGGCCGUCGCGAAGAUCGACGCCCAGGCCGAACGUGCUGCGCUCGUCGCGCG